RNAcentral lists this ribosomal RNA (258 nucleotides) under uncultured bacterium. RNAcentral describes it as "partial 16S ribosomal RNA". It matches the Rfam family "Bacterial small subunit ribosomal RNA", at positions 524 to 777 of the family's 1533-position model. The record is from RNAcentral.
CACGUAGGGUGCGAGCGUUGUCCGGAAUUAUUGGGCGUAAAGAGCUCGUAGGUGGUUUGUCGCGUUGUUCGUGAAAACUCACAGCUUAACUGUGGGCGUGCGGGCGAUACGGGCAGACUGGAGUACUGCAGGGGAGACUGGAAGUUCCUGGUGUAGCGGUGAAAUGCGCAGAUAUCAGGAGGAACACCGGUGGCGAAGGCGGGUCUCUGGGCAAACAACGUGACGCUGGAGGAGCGAAAGCGUGGGGAGCGAACAGGA